GGGGUUGUGGCUCAGUGGUAAAGUGCUUGCCAAGCAUGGUGCAAGGCCCUGGGUUCGAGCCUCAGCACCACA
RNAcentral lists this transfer RNA (72 nucleotides) under Marmota monax (woodchuck). RNAcentral's name for it is "tRNA.Ala". Lineage: Eukaryota; Metazoa; Chordata; Mammalia; Rodentia; Sciuridae. The record is from RNAcentral.